CAGCCGCCACGGUAAAACGUAGGUCCCGAGCGUUGUCCGGAUUUAUUGGGCGUAAAGCGAGCGCAGGCGGUUAGAUAAGUCUGAAGUUAAAGGCUGUGGCUUAACCAUAGUACGCUUUGGAAACUGUUUAACUUGAGUGCAGAAGGGGAGAGUGGAAUUCCAUGUGUAGCGGUGAAAUGCGUAGAUAUAUGGAGGAACACCGGUGGCGAAAGCGGCUCUCUGGUCUGUAACUGACGCUGAGGCUCGAAAGCGUGGGGAGCAAACAGGACUAGAUACCCGAGUAGUCCCUGUCUCUUAUACA
Molecule: ribosomal RNA, 301 nt
Filed under: uncultured bacterium
Lineage: Bacteria
Description: partial 16S ribosomal RNA
Rfam family: Bacterial small subunit ribosomal RNA
Source: RNAcentral